Lepisosteus oculatus (spotted gar) is the source of this 328-nucleotide non-coding RNA. NCBI's taxonomy places the organism in Eukaryota, Metazoa, Chordata, Actinopteri, Semionotiformes, Lepisosteidae. The record is from RefSeq and is a predicted model, not a curated record.
GACAGUGUGUGCUUUUCCUUACAUUUCAUAUUGGACUCCAGUGGCUUGAUCGGUGACAAAGGAUUUCAAGAACGCGCCUGCAGUCAUGAAAGUUGUUUUUCCCCCAGGUUCUGCGGCUCCUGCUCCUCGGCGCUCCGACGAUCUCCUCUCCAGCAACUCCUUGUGCGUUGGCAAGUUAUUCUUGACAGUGUGUGCUUUUCCUUACAUUUCAUUUUUUACACCAGUGGCUUGAUCUGUAAUGUACCGACUCUCUUAACCUGAAUGUUUCCUGCUGACUGCUGCUACUGUUUGUGCUUUGUAUUCUGCAAUAAAAACUGUUUGCAUUUUC